AGCUCACGUGUGUGUGCUAAGUUGUGUCCAACUCUUUGUGAUUCCCUGGACUGUAGCCUGCCAGGCUCCUCUGUCCAUGGAAUUCUCCAGGCAAGAAGAGUGGGUAACCAUUUCCUUCUCAAGGGGCUCUUCUGGACCCAGAGAUCGAACACGUGUCUCCUGCAUUGCAGGCAGCUUCUUUACCGCUGAGACACCUGGGAAGCCCUAGAGCCACACUCAGAGAGCAUGCAAAAAGAACAGAUGUUCAGAGAGCCUUGAGCCCCAGGGGGAGCCAUGGGGCAUGACGGAGGCCUGGAAAAGAGCAGCGCAGAGGACACUCCCCAGGGAAGCUUCAGAAGGCAGCCAGAAAUGCACUCGGAGGAGAACUUAUCACUGUAAGUGUUUUCAUUAUACACAAGAGAGAAUAAAAAAUACAUGAACUAAGCUUUCAAUUCCAGACUGGAGGGAAGAAAAAUAAGACAGCCCGAAGCCCAAGGAAGCAGCAGAAAUAUGUGAAAAAAGGGGAAAGUGGCUGGUUUGGCAAGUAGAAAAACCAUAGAAUUGGUACUCCUGAGACCUUGAACGUCCCCGGGGAGCUGCCUCUGGGGCUGGACCACACGGCCUUGGAGCCUCCCCAGUGCCCGCCGCCCCCUGCCACGUUCCUGAGGACCUGCGGUCUCCAUACUCAUUGACACUGCAGCAAGGACCCUGACGAGGCUUGGUGUUCACUUUUCUCUGCUGGGAGAAGGGGCACCAUCCAGCCCAGAGCCUAGAGAAGUGGAGAAACAGCCAUCAUGUGGCCCACAUAUGAGGGAGGUUUCAAAGUCCUGUUCUGAAGGAAGCCACCAUCAGGAGGCCAGGACCUGUCUGACUCACCCUCUGUGCUGUUAUUCUGAUGCAACUUCAUUCAAAGUCAGUGUCAGGAGCUCUGGGUCCUGAGGAUGCCCUCGAUGCUCCCUUGACUUCAGUGACCCCAAAUGCUCUUUUCUUUAAAAACGUCGCAAAUACAGGAUUGUUGGAUUUGAACCAGUGUCCACAGGUGCUGGACAUGGGUGUCAGGAUGCCACAGCAUCUGGCCACUUUCUCCAGCGUGAUCACGGCAGGGGAUGGGAGUUUGUGUGGGUGUAGAUGGCCUGCCACGGGGUUGCAAAGAGGUGGACACGACUUAGCAACUGAACAACAACAAAAAGGCAGCCUGCCACCUGCGCCCCCAGCUGCCCGGCAGAGGCCAGCUCCACUCCGUCUCUUCAGCCCCACUUGUGUGUGGCUUUCUGAUUCGCGUCUUUGCAUCCUGGGGUUUCCCCUAAGGACUGGAGGAAUUACGAUGGGAGCCUUGCAGGCCGGUGAACCAGGAGGGUCUCUGGGACUCCGGCCAGUGCCAGCUUCAAGGCUUGGCCUCGCCAACACAGUUGAUUAGAAGCCCUCCCACAGGCACCACUGUCCUUGACCAGGGGGGCCGGGGGCACCGGGCCAGUCUCCUUUUGGCACUGAAGCUGGAGACAGUGAGAGGUCAAGGACAGGCAGAAAGAGCAGCCCUGUCGCUCCGUCCACGGUGACCUCACUUUCCAGAUGCCUCCACAGUGUGGGCAGCGGAGUGAGACCCAGGACAGUGGCCAGUGGACCCCCGGACGCAUGGUGCCACCCUGUCUCCUGCCCGCAGCCUUCAGGCCCGUCGGGGGCCUGGACGCGGCGGGUCUGGGCUUGGCGCUGCGCCGGUGGGAAGGACCACGAGGAGUUUGAACAAAGGCAGUGGAAGCAUCCAUCCAGCGAGUUCUGAGCUGUGUUUCUGCAAAGCUGUGCCUAAAUGGCAUUUUGAUAAGUUAAUUUCCCAUCGGCUUGUUGGAAUUUUGGCAAUACUUUCUCUUUUUCUCAUCACAGUUACGUUUCCCGGCUCAUGGUGGGCCCCUGAGCGGCAGGUGCACGCACAGCUGCAUGCUGGCUGUGUCCUCGCCACGUGGGACACCCAGCGAGGUCGUCAUAAGAGGGCUUUCCUGAAGGAGCGAGGACGUGCCAGGGGUGACCCUGGGGGCUGGGGUCCAGGUUGGGCUUGGCUGUGGCCCCGUGGGCUCCUCCUGGGUCAACCAUGUCCCGGCUGCAUUAAGGCUCAGGGUCAGAAGCGUCCUUCAUGUGGGAAGUGACCACAGGCUCUGGGGAGUGACCACAGGCUCUCUGAGACCCCACCCCUUCCCUCCAGGUACCAAUCAGCCUCAAACCCCACCUUCCUCCUGGUCCACUGUGGCUCCCUGACCCUGUGGACUGUUGUUCUCCAGGUGGCAAUCUGGCCUUUUCAAGUUGAGCUGCUCUGAACCCAGGCCCCACCUACCCUGUCUCUUCCGCAUGCACCCCCUGCCCCAUUCUCUCUGUCUGGUCCUGGGGGGCAGAGUCCAAACCCCCGGCUGUGCUGACGUCUCUUGGGCAGCAGGGGGUCCCAGAGGCCUCAGCUUGGAGCGAUUAGGGCUGUCACAGGCACCCAAGCCCCCUCCUUGCUGGCUGCAUUUCCUGUCUGCUCUGCCAUGGCUAUCAGCCUGCUUUGGCCCAGAAGAGAGUGUCUCACUUCUAAGCAGAGGUGUUCAGGGCCCUUGUGUGGUCAGCAGUGUCCUGCUGUCUCCUGCUCUGGCCCUAGAGUAACUCCCUGGGCAACCCUCCCAGGCAGGGAGUGUGGUGGGGGUGGGGGGCUGUCGUGAGAUCUGGGGCCUGCUGGGGACGCAGGGUGAUCCAGCCCACCCAGGACACACUCGGAAAUCAGGAAGGUGGCCAGACACAGCUCCAGUCUCAGGGGACCAUGGCCCAGAGGCGCCUGGGUUUUUAAAACUGCACUAGAAUGAAACCGGAGCUCCGCCACGGGCCUGGAUCUUCAGAUGAGCGUGGCCUGGACUUUCCCUGUUUCUUUCUUUCUCCAGAAGUUCUUGGCGAGAGAGCUGAUUGUGUGAAAUUUUUUCCGGGCAAGGGUAAUUUCCAAUUAUUCUAUGAUAUUUGCAAACACUGCAAGAGCAAGCAGAUCUGUGCUGUGAUGUUUUCCAAGAAAUAAAGUCUCUCCAAGUGGCCCUAACUGCUUC
Molecule: long non-coding RNA, 3035 nt
Organism: Bos indicus x Bos taurus (hybrid cattle)
Lineage: Eukaryota; Metazoa; Chordata; Mammalia; Artiodactyla; Bovidae
Source: Ensembl